AAAACGCCGAGAUGCGAUGACGAGAGCGAAUGCUCACAAAGUCGUUGAUCCCAAGCUUCCAAGAAAAGCCUCUAAGCUUCAGGCAACAGGAGACCGUACCGUAAACCGACUCAGGUGGGUGAGGAGAAAAUCCUAAGGUGCUUGAGAGAACACUGGUUAAGGAACUCGGCAAAAUGAUACCGUAACUUCGGGAGAAGGUAUGCCCUCAUAAGGUGUAGCGAUACGCACGUGAAGCCGAAGGGGGUCGCAGAGAAAUGGCGGUAGCGACUGUUUACUAAAAACAUAGGACUCUGCAAAGUCGAAAGACGAGGUAUAGGGUCUGACGCCUGCCCGGUGCCGGAAGGUUAAGGGGAUUUGUCAGCGCAAGCGAAGCUUUGAACCGAAGCCCCGGUAAACGGCGGCCGUAACGAUAACGGUCCUAAGGUAGCGAAAUUCCUUGUCGGGUAAGUUCCGACCUGCACGAAUGGCGUAACGAUUUCCGCGCUGUCUCAACCAGUGGCUCAGCGAAAUUGAAUUCUCGGUGAAGAUGCCGAGUACCCGCGGCAAGACGGAAAGACCCCGUGAACCUUUACUACAGCUUGACAGUGACAUUCGGAAUAGCUUGUGUAGGAUAGGUGGGAGCCUGAGAAGCUGGUACGCCAGUAUCGGUGGAGGCAACCUUGAAAUACCACCCUGGUUGUUUUGGGUGUCUAACCUGGGCCCGUCAUCCGGGUCGGGGACACUGUCUGGUGGGUAGUUUGACUGGGGCGGUCGCCUCCCAAAGAGUAACGGAGGCGCGCGAAGGUUCCCUCAGCCCGAUUGGAAACCGGGCGUAGAGUGCAAAGGCAUAAGGGAGCUUGACUGCGAGACGGACAUGUCGAGCAGGUACGAAAGUAGGUCUUAGUGAUCCGGCGGUUCUGUAUGGAAGGGCCGUCGCUCAACGGAUAAAAGGUACUCCGGGGAUAACAGGCUUAUCUCCCCCAAGAGUUCACAUCGACGGGGAGGUUUGGCACCUCGAUGUCGGCUCAUCGCAUCCUGGGGCUGAAGUAGGUCCCAAGGGUUUGGCUGUUCGCCAAUUAAAGCGGUACGCGAGCUGGGUUUAAAACGUCGUGAGACAGUUUGGUCCCUAUCUGCCGUGGGCGCAGGAUACUUGAGAAGAGCUGUCCUUAGUACGAGAGGACCGGGAUGGACGUACCUCUAGUGUUCCAGUUGUUCCGCCAGGAGCAUUCGCUGGGUAGCUAUGUACGGAAAGGAUAACCGCUGAAAGCAUCUAAGCGGGAAGCCUCCUUCAAGAUAAGGUAUCCCCGGGAGCAAUCCCCUGAAGGCCCGUUGUAGACCACAACGUUGAUAGGCCGGGUGUGUAAGCACAGCAAUGUGUUCAGCUUACCGGUACUAAUCGGCCGUGAGGCUUGACC
Molecule: ribosomal RNA, 1394 nt
Filed under: metagenome
Description: bacterial LSU rRNA
Rfam family: Bacterial large subunit ribosomal RNA
Source: RNAcentral